UAGCCUACGGGGGGCAGCAGUGAGGAAUAUUGGUCAAUGGCCGAGAGGCUGAACCAGCCAAGUCGCGUGAGGGAAGAAUGUCCUAUGGAUUGUAAACCUCUUUUGUCAGGGAGCAAAGUCACCCACGUGUGGGCGUAUGGAGAGUACCUGAAGAAAAAGCAUCGGCUAACUCCGUGCCAGCAGCCGCGGUAAUACGGAGGAUGCGAGCGUUAUCCGGAUUUAUUGGGUUUAAAGGGUGCGUAGGCGGGACCUUAAGUCAGCGGUAAAAUUGCGGUGCUCAACGCCGUAGAGCCGUUGAAACUGGG
Molecule: ribosomal RNA, 305 nt
Filed under: uncultured bacterium
Lineage: Bacteria
Description: bacterial SSU rRNA
Rfam family: Bacterial small subunit ribosomal RNA
Source: RNAcentral